Micropterus dolomieu (smallmouth bass) is the source of this 2387-nucleotide long non-coding RNA. RefSeq lists it as uncharacterized. The transcript is spliced from 3 exons. The record is from RefSeq and is a predicted model, not a curated record. NCBI's taxonomy places the organism in Eukaryota, Metazoa, Chordata, Actinopteri, Centrarchiformes, Centrarchidae.
CCUGACUGGAGGCUUUUCUCUUUCUGUUCAGAGCCACCGGAGCUGAAGGAGACAGUGGAGGCUGGAGAGGACGCCACUCUUCAGUGUCAGAGUCACGGAGGUGCUGAGAUCACAGUGAUAGAGUGGAUCAGAACUGACCUGAAGUCAGAUGAUUUUGUCUUCUACCUCAGCCCUGAUCAAACAAACGGAGAGUACCAGAAUUCAUUGUUUGAGGGUCGAGUGGAGCUUCAAGAUCCAGAGAUGAAGAACGGAGACGCUUCUGUGAUUCUGAAGAACGUCAACAUCAAGGACACUGGAACAUAUGAGUGUUGGAUUGGAGUGAAAAACAACACAAGACGCAGAAAGAGAGACGCAACUGAACCCAUCAGCACCAUCAAGCUGACAGUGACAGAGCCAGGUCACACAGCUGGACACAAGGAGGGAGGAGACAAGGAGGGAGGAGACAAGGAGGGAGGAGGCCAGGAGAGAAAUGUUGUCGGCCUGACAGUUUCUGUGCUUCUUGUUGCUGUUGUUGUUGCUGGAAUGAUGGUCUUAAAAAAACUCAGAGAAAAAACAACUCAAACAGCAGGAGAGACGAACCCAAAAUCAACAUCAUCAUUAAUCUGACAGUGACAGAUCCAGGUCACACAGCUGGACACAAGGAGGGAAGAGACAAGGAGGGAAUGUUUCACAGACAGGUGGUGUGUUCGCUCUUCAUAGUGCUGGUUUUAUGAUCUUUAAAAAACAAAGCAUGCACUGAGCAUAAUUCAAGAAAAAAUCUGUAAUGAUCUUUAUUCCUUAAAAUGGUGACGGCACUGGCCAUGCUCCUUAUAACUUUCUCUUGACUUCUGUACUUUGCAAAUAAAAAAGUCUAGGUGACGCAGUCCAACUCUAAAAUCCAUCCAUGAUAGUACUUUACUUUAGACUGCUGCGUUUAGGCGCAGCAACGCAGCAGCGUGUGUGAGUGUGUGUUGGAGAGAGAUGCACACAAAGAACUGUCAAAUUUAAUAUGGGAAAAAAUUGAUUUAAGGAAGUUAGGUAUUUACUGCAUCUACUCUUAUUAGUAGUUAAACCGUGCACAUUGAGGAAACAAGGCCCACAAAUUUGGAGAGGGGUCCAACUGCAGACCUCCACCAUCAGGCCACCUCCUCUUUCGGGACAGUCAGUUUUCACAUCCCCACAUUCUCGGUUGUUUCGCUACUCUACAUAUCGUGACAUCGGUAGGUGACUGGUUAGCAUUAUCCAAAACAUUGAGUAAAGUCUGAAUGCACAUAUUCGCCGUCAAAAUAGCUACCACUGUCAAUAUUGUACAUCUAAAUCACACAAAUUGGAGAACGUUACACGUGUGUAAGUAUUGUUCUACAUAGGUAACGUUGGACUACGCCAACGGUGGCUAGCGUUAGCUCCUGAAGUAGCAGGAUUAGCUUUAUUUUUUUUAUUUAUUUUUUUUCCCUUUGGAUAACCUAAGCUACUCAUAGACUGUAUGAAGCUGCUGUAUGUUCGUUUUUUGUAAAAAAAAAUUUGUCAUAUAGUAGUCCAGUUCCCACAGUUGUCCGUUUUUUCCUAUUAAAUUCAGCAGUAAAAUGCCACAGUAUAUUAGGCUACUCUUCAAAGGGAAAUUUAUGAAGUGUGUGUGUGUGUGUGUGUGUUUUAAGAAGACUGGAAGAGAGGCUAAGUUACACUCUUAAUGAACGACUAUGUUUUUCUGUGAAUUGAUGUGGCUAGCUGUAUGGACGGAGUUAAUGUCCUAUUGUGACAGAAUAAAUAAAUAGUGCCUGUGUAAAAAUAAAAAGAUACUGUGACUAGUUGAAGGAUUGACGCAUAUACAGUGGGCUUUGUUGCUACAUUGGCACCUUAAGUGCUAAGUAGAAUAGGCUCAAAUUAAUAGGCUAUAUUUAAGGAAUUAGCCUACUAGUUUCCCGUUACAAUGUUGACUAAAUAAUUAAAUAUAAAUCAACGGCAAAAGCCCUCCCCUUAUGUCUACGUGAUUGAACUUUAUAAUUUUUCAAUGAGUUUCCUGUCAAAUCGCACGCUUUUAUUUGGUAGUUUUUUCAUGUAUUUCCUGUCCUGACCGGCCUGACAGUGGAGGUCUGUUGGACCCUCUUGCAAAUUUGCCAUUAUAGGGUUCCCUAGUAGACACGAACCGUGUGUGUGUGUGUGUGUGUGUGUGUGUUACAUAUUACCACAAUAUAAAACUAGUGUGUUUAGUCCUGCUUUCAAAAUGUUAUUAAAGUCAAGGUACACACUUAUUAGCUAAGUGGAACUACUUUACAUAAUGUUGACAGUUAAAUCUAAAUGCUUCAUGUUGUAAAAUAUUAAUCUUCUGAGUAACCUAUUAAUACAUGUCUUUUUUUUUUAUUUGAAUGUAAACCUGUGUUUUUCUUGCCAAUAAAGCUUCACUGAAUUAA